RNAcentral lists this ribosomal RNA (235 nucleotides) under Shewanella sp. UCD-FRSSP16_17. RNAcentral describes it as "partial 16S ribosomal RNA". It matches the Rfam family "Bacterial small subunit ribosomal RNA", at positions 1302 to 1533 of the family's 1533-position model. Lineage: Bacteria; Pseudomonadati; Pseudomonadota; Gammaproteobacteria; Alteromonadales; Shewanellaceae. The record is from RNAcentral.
AGUCUGCAACUCGACUCCAUGAAGUCGGAAUCGCUAGUAAUCGUAGAUCAGAAUGCUACGGUGAAUACGUUCCCGGGCCUUGUACACACCGCCCGUCACACCAUGGGAGUGGGCUGCACCAGAAGUAGAUAGUCUAACCUUCGGGAGGACGUUUACCACGGUGUGGUUCAUGACUGGGGUGAAGUCGUAACAAGGUAGCCCUAGGGGAACCUGGGGCUGGAUCACCUCCUUACCU